AUUAACCAGCCCCCUUCAAGUCCCCUUAAAUCGACUGCUCAGCUGAUGUUAAGUAAAAGUUAAAUGACUUGGUUAAAAAAAAAGAAAGACAGCAAAUUGUCCCAUUGGUGGGUUUUCUACAACCUGCCAUGUUCACGCGUAAUAAGAGCUUCUAACGUUUCAUUGGGUCGUUCUUACUUUGUCAUUCUAGGUACUUAACAUGAACUCGUUUGCCCUUGGAUACUCCAGUAUCUAUCACUCACACACUUUAUCCGGAUAAACUUUACUUCGCUACUUUAAAAGGAUACAGGAACUCUACCUGGCACUGUUGUAAAAAGACCGCGUCUUAAUGAAAAGGUGUAGUAAAAAGUUGGAGGACCAUCUUUAAACGCGCUGAUGAGCACAGCAGAUGGGUUAUCUUUGAAGGAUUAAGCCUCCACCCGCCCAGACAUGAUCAGCCCCGCUCAGAGAGGCGUUCACUGCCCGCUCUGUCACGCAGAAACGUCAUAUGACUGCUGCUGCUGCUGCCUAGUGCUCGCUUUGAGUAGACUUCAGGAAAGGUUUUCCUUGAAGGACAUUCAAAGAUGCCCAGCACCCCUGGCUGAAAUGCAGCCAAAACCAUGAGAGAGCCACCACCGUGUUUCACAGAUGGCCGCAGACGCUCACUGUUGUACUUGUUUCUUGAUCUCCUACAUACAUACCGAAGAUGAUUUAAAUCUGGAUUCAUCACACCAUAAGGCCUGAUUUUAAAUCCAGUUCUGGUGUAAUUUGGCAUGCUGCAGACUUUCCGUCCUUGUUUCCUGCUUUUGAUAGCCACCCUUCCACUGAGACCAUUUCUGGCACGACUUUCAGAUUCUUCUUCACUUGUCCAGUUUCCUCACAUUACUUAAAGACACACAGCACACCAUGCCAAGAUACGCCAGCAAAUAGUUCUUUGGUGCCAAAAGUUUCAUCCCUGUCAAAUUUUGCUUGGUAGUUUUCAUAAAUUCAAGUAAGGAAAUCGAAGAAAAAACUGUGAUUUUUUCACAGUAACAAAGUGACUAAAAUACAGUCGGUUCCUUGCUAAGCCAUGUGUAGACAGAGCACUAGUUUAUCACUUGAAUAAAGGCUU
This is a long non-coding RNA of Oreochromis niloticus (Nile tilapia), 1090 nucleotides long. RefSeq lists it as uncharacterized. Lineage: Eukaryota; Metazoa; Chordata; Actinopteri; Cichliformes; Cichlidae. The record is from RefSeq and is a predicted model, not a curated record. The transcript has 3 exons.